AACGCACAUUGCGCCCGCCAGUAUUCUGGCGGGCAUGCCUGUCCGAGCGUCAUUUCAACCCUCGAACCCCCCCCGGGGGAUCGGUGUUGGGGACCGGCCUCCGCCCUCGCUGGCGGUCGCCGCCCCCGAAAUAUAGUGGCGGUCUCGCCGCAGCCUCCUCUGCGCAGUAGUUUGCACACUCGCAUCGGAGAGCGGCGCGUCCAAGCCGUAAACCACCCAAAUUUAUAAAGGUUGACCUCGGAUCAGGUAGGAAUACCCGCUGAACUUAA
Molecule: unclassified non-coding RNA, 269 nt
Filed under: uncultured Hypocreales
Lineage: Eukaryota; Fungi; Ascomycota; Sordariomycetes; Hypocreales
Description: sequence contains ITS2
Rfam family: 5.8S ribosomal RNA (bases 1-52)
Source: RNAcentral